UACGUAGGCAGCAAGCGUUGUUCGGAAUUACUGGGCGUAAAGAGUGUGUAGGCGGUGUUCUAAGUCUGUUGUGAAAUCUCCCGGCUUAACUGGGAGGGUGCGGCGGAAACUGGAAUGCUAGAGGAUGGGAGAGGUAAGCGGAAUUCCUGGUGUAGCGGUGAAAUGCGCAGAUAUCAGGAAGAACACCCGUGGCGAAGGCGGCUCUCUGGGACGGUACUGACGCUGAGACGUGAAAGCGUGGGGAGCAAACAGG
This 253-nucleotide ribosomal RNA is filed under the name uncultured bacterium. RNAcentral describes it as "partial 16S ribosomal RNA". It matches the Rfam family "Bacterial small subunit ribosomal RNA", at positions 524 to 776 of the family's 1533-position model. The record is from RNAcentral.